This 75-nucleotide transfer RNA is filed under the name Schistocerca americana (American grasshopper). Its description in RNAcentral is "tRNA-Thr". Lineage: Eukaryota; Metazoa; Arthropoda; Insecta; Orthoptera; Acrididae. The record is from RNAcentral.
GCCCUCGGUGGCUCAGGUGGUUAGAGCGUCUGCCAUGUAAGUAGGAGAUCCCGGCUUCGAGUCCCGGCCAGGGCA